UCGUACAAUGGGGGUACCCGGGUUGUCGCUGACUUUUCGUCGUGCACGCCCGAGUGCUCUCACAUACAAAUAUCCAUCUCACCCCUUUGUGCAUCACCGCGUGCGUCCCCCCCUUCCUCGGAGGGCGGGGUGCUCACGUUUUUAACAUCAAACACCCUAGUGUAGAAUGUUCUUUGCGCGAUCACGCGCGAAUCAAUACAACUUUCAACAACGGAUCUCUUGGCUCUCGCAUCGAUGAAGAACGCAGCGAAAUGCGAUACGUAAUGUGAAUUGCAGAAUUCAGUGAAUCAUCGAAUCUUUGAACGCACCUUGCGCCCCUUGGCAUUCCGAGGGGCACACCCGUUUGAGUGUCGUGAACAUCCUCAACCUGCUUCGUUCUAUCGAACCAAGUAGGCUUGGAAUUUGGAGGUUUUUCUGCUGGCUUCCUCUGAAGCCAGCUCCUCUUAAAUCUAUCAGUGGGAUCCGCUUUGCUAGAUCCUCGACGUUGAUAAGAUGUUUCUACGUCUUGGGUUUCGCUCGGGAAGGACCUGCUUCUAACCGUCCCCAUCGGGGACAAUGUUCGAGAGCCGAUCGCCCUUCACGGGGUGCGAAGCUUUUCGACCCAUGAAACCUUGACCUCAAAUCGGGUGAGACUACCCGC
Molecule: ribosomal RNA, 640 nt
Filed under: Russula delica
Lineage: Eukaryota; Fungi; Basidiomycota; Agaricomycetes; Russulales; Russulaceae
Description: eukaryotic LSU rRNA
Rfam family: 5.8S ribosomal RNA (bases 200-353)
Source: RNAcentral